This 69-nucleotide transfer RNA is filed under the name Cavia porcellus (domestic guinea pig). It matches the Rfam family "tRNA". Rfam says of the family: Transfer RNA (tRNA) molecules are approximately 80 nucleotides in length. Their secondary structure includes four short double-helical elements and three loops (D, anti-codon, and T loops). The record is from Rfam by way of RNAcentral. Lineage: Eukaryota; Metazoa; Chordata; Mammalia; Rodentia; Caviidae.
GGGAUAUAGCUCAGUGGCACAGUGCUUGCUUGGCAAGCACGAGGUCCUGAGUUCAAUUCCUAGUACCCA